GAGUUUGAUCCUGGCUCAGGACGAACGCUGGCGGCGUGCCUAAGACAUGCAAGUCGAACGGUCCAGGCUUCGGUCUGGAUAGUGGCAAACGGCGGAGUAAUACAUGAGCAACGUGCCCCGAAGACCGGGAUAGUCGCUGGAAACGGCGGGUAAUACCGGAUGUGGCCGACGGGAGACAUCUCCCGUCGAUCAAAGGGAGCAAUCCGCUUCGGGAGCGGCUCAUGGCCUAUCAGGUAGUUGGCGGGGUAACGGCCCACCAAGCCUACGACGGGUAGCGGGUCUGAGAGGAUGAUCCGCCCGAGUGGGACUGAGACACGGCCCACACACCUACGGGUGGCAGCAGUCGGGAAUCUUGCACAAUGGGGGAAACCCUGAUGCAGCGACGCCGCGUGGAGGAUGAAGGAUCUAGGUCUGUAAACUCCUUUUAUCGGGAAAGACUUAGGACGGUACCCGAUGAAUAAGCACCGGCUAACUACGUGCCAGCAGCCGCGGUAAGACGUAGGGUGCGAGCGUUGUCCGGAUUCACUGGGCGUAAAGAACGCGUAGGCGGCCUGUUAAGUGUGAAGUGAAAUCUCCAGGGCUCAACCCGGAAACUGCUUCGCAUACUGGCAGGCUGGAGGAAUGCAGAGGUGAGUGGAAUUCCUGGUGUAGCGGUGAAAUGCGUUGAUAUCAGGAGGAACACCCGUGGCGAAGGCGGCUCACUGGGCAUUUCCUGACGCUGAGGCGUGAAAGCGUGGGGAGCAAACAGGAUUAGAUACCCUGGUAGUCCACGCCCUAAACGAUGGAUACUAGAUGUGAGAGGUAUACACCCCUCUCGUGUCGCAGCUAACGCAUUAAGUAUCCCGCCUGGGGACUACGGCCGCAAGGUUGAAACUCAAAUGAAUUGACGGGGACCCGCACAAGCGGUGGAGCAUGUGGAUUAAUUCGAUACUAACCGAAGAACCUUACCCAGGUUUGACAUGCGGCGGAAAUCCCAUGAAAGUGGGCCCCUCCGCAAGGAGCCGCCACACACUUGUUGCAUGGCUGUCGUCAGCUCGUGCCGUGAGGUGUACGGUUAAGUCCGCCAACGAGCGCAACCCUCGCCUCAUGUUGCCAGCGGGUAAUGCCGGGAACUCAUGAGGGACCGAUGGUGUAAGCCAAAGGAAGGUGGGGAUGACGUCAAGUCAGCAUGGCAGUUACGCCUGGGGCUUCACACAUGCUACAAUGGGCGAAACAAAGGGCAGCAAUGCCGCGAGGCGGAGCAAAUCCCAAAAAUACGCCCCCAGUUCAGAUUGCAGUCUGCAACUCGACUGCAUGAAGGCGGAAUCGCUAGUAAACGCAGGUCAGCCAUACUGCGUUGAAUACGUUCCCGGGUCUUGUACACACCGCCCGUCAAGUCACCUGAAUCGUCUUCACCCGAAGUCCGUGGCCCAACCGCAAGGAGGGAGCGGCCGAAGGUGAGGGGGGUAAGGGGGACUAAGUCGUAACAAGGUAACCGAAGGGCGA
Molecule: ribosomal RNA, 1485 nt
Filed under: uncultured Armatimonadota bacterium
Lineage: Bacteria; Bacillati; Armatimonadota
Description: bacterial SSU rRNA
Rfam family: Bacterial small subunit ribosomal RNA
Source: RNAcentral